UACGGAGGGUGCGAGCGUUAAUCGGAAUUACUGGGCGUAAAGCGCAUGCAGGCGGCUUGUUAAGCAAGAUGUGAAAGCCCGGGGCUUAACCUCGGAACCGCAUUUUGAACUGGCAGGCUAGAGUCUUGUAGAGGGGGGUAGAAUUUCAGGUGUAGCGGUGAAAUGCGUAGAGAUCUGAAGGAAUACCGGUGGCGAAGGCGGCCCCCUGGACAGAUACUGACACUCAGAUGCGAAAGCGUGGGGAGCAAACAGG
RNAcentral lists this ribosomal RNA (253 nucleotides) under uncultured bacterium. RNAcentral's name for it is "partial 16S ribosomal RNA". It matches the Rfam family "Bacterial small subunit ribosomal RNA", at positions 524 to 776 of the family's 1533-position model. The record is from RNAcentral.